This 1192-nucleotide ribosomal RNA is filed under the name Chalcolestes viridis. RNAcentral describes it as "partial 16S ribosomal RNA". Lineage: Eukaryota; Metazoa; Arthropoda; Insecta; Odonata; Lestidae. The record is from RNAcentral.
AGUUUGAUAAGUUAUCAAUUACUGGAAAAUUUUGUAUCAUAUAAUAUGAGAAAUAUCUUUCAAUUUAGUAAGUUUAUAGAAAUUUUUAUUUGAGUAAUAUUUAUUUGUACUGUAAAGGGGGUUUGAAAUAUUUUGAAAAUUUAUUUUAUUAAAAGUAUAUUUUGUUUAUAGUACCUUUUGUAUCAGGGUUAAUCAAUUACUUAUAAUUUAUUUAUUAUAUUCUCGAUUUCAGAAGAGCUAAUAAUUUAUUUUAGUUGUUGUUGCAUAAACAUUAACAAUUUUUUAUUAGAGAAGAAAUUUUAUUCGUUUUUAUAGGUAUCUAGUUUUUUAAGAAAUAAAUUUAAUUUAGGUAGUAUUUAUUGAUGAUUUAAUUAAUUAAGUAAUUCUUUAAAUACUACUAAUUCAAUAGGGGAUAAGCUCUAUUGAAUUAUUCUAUAACUUUCUUUUUCAUUUAAUUGUAGUAGGGUUAAAAUCAUCCAUCUUUUUAAUUACGUUAUAGUAUAUAUUAAUUUGUUAUUGAUUUAUUUUUGUUUAGUUUUUUAUUAAAAUUUAAUGGUUAAUAAUUAACCAUUAGUAAUAAUGAUUAAAUUAGUAUAAUUUUAUGUUUAAUGUGAAAUGAUUUUUAUUAUUAAAUAAGGAACUCGGCAAAUAAGCGCUCGCCUGUUUAUCAAAAACAUGUCUUCUUGUUGAUUAUAAGAAGUCUGACCUGCCCAGUUAAUAAUCUCUAACGGCCGCGGUAUAUUGACCGUGCAAAGGUAGCAUAAUCAUUAGUCUUUUAAUAAAAGGCUGGCAUGAAUGGUUUGACGAGGUGCUGACUGUCUCAUUUAAUUUUUAUUAGAAUUUAACUUUUGAGUUAAAAGGCUAGAAUACUUUUGGAAGACGAGAAGACCCUAUAGAGCUUUAUAAUAGUUUAAUUAACCAUAUUUAGUUUAAUUUUUUUGUUUAUUUAACUUAUUAUUUUGUUGGGGUGACAAAAUAUAUAAUUAACUUUUUUAUUUAAUUUUACAUUAAUGUAUGAUUUAUCAAAUCCAUUUUUAGUGAUUACUAAAACAAGUUACCUUAGGGAUAACAGCGUAAUCUUCUUUCAGAGUUCAAAUUUACAAAAAGGCUUGCGACCUCGAUGUUGGAUUAAAAUUAUAGUUAGGUGCAGCAGCUUAACUUAUAGGUCUGUUCGACCUUUAAUUUCUUACAU